CCUACGGGAGGCAGCAGUGAGGAAUAUUGGACAAUGGACGAGAGUCUGAACCAGCCAAGUAGCGUGAAGGAUGACUGCCCUAUGGGUUGUAAACUUCUUUUAUAUGGGAAUAAAAUGUUCCACGUGUGGGAUUUUGUAUGUACCAUAUGAAUAAGGAUCGGCUAACUCCGAGCCAGCAGCCGCGGUAAUACGGAGGAUCCGAGCGUUAUCCGGAUUUAUUGGGUUUAAAGGGAGCGUAGGUGGAUUGUUAAGUCAGUGGUGAAAGUCUGCGGCUCAACCGUCAAAUUGCAGUUGUAACUGGCAGUCUAGAGUACAGUAGAGGUGAGCGGAAUUCGUGGUGUAGCGGUGAAAUGCUUAGAUAUCACGAAGAACUCCGGUUGCGAAGGCAGUUCACUGGACUGCAACUGACACUGAGGCUCGAAAGUGUGGGUAUCAAACAGGAUUAGAUACCCGAGUAGUC
This 460-nucleotide ribosomal RNA is filed under the name uncultured bacterium. Its description in RNAcentral is "partial 16S ribosomal RNA". It matches the Rfam family "Bacterial small subunit ribosomal RNA", at positions 338 to 795 of the family's 1533-position model. The record is from RNAcentral.